AGUUGUUGCAGUUAAAAAGCUCGUAGUUGGAUUUCUGGUGGGAGCGUUGGGCCGGCCCUAAGGGUCUGAGCUCAAAUGUUUUCCGCCAUCCUUGGAGGGAUGUUGUCUGGCAUUAAGUUGUCGGGCUUCCGAUCUCCAUCGUUUACUGUGAAAAAAUUAGAGUGUUCAAAGCAGGCUUAUGCCGUUGAAUACAUUAGCAUGGAAUAAUAAGAUAGGACCCUGGUACUAUUUUGUUGGUUUGCGUACCUAGGUAAUGAUUAAUAGGGACAGUUGGGGAUAUUACUAUUUCGUUGUCAGAGGUGAAAUUCUUGGAUUUACGAAAGAGUAACUACUGCGAAAGCAUUUAUCAAGGAUGUUUUCAUUAAUCAAGAACGAAAGUUAGGGGAUCGAAGAUGAUUAGAUACCAUCGUAGUCUUAACCAUAAACUAUGCCGACUAGGGAUUGGCGGUCGUUUUUUCGACUCCGUCAGCACCUUAUGAGAAAUCAAAGUCUUUGGGUUCCGGGGGGAGUAUGGUCGCAAGGCUGAAACUUAAAGAAAUUGACGGAAAGGCACCACCAGGAGUGGAGCCUGCGGCUUAAUUUGACUCAACACGGGAAACUUACCA
Molecule: ribosomal RNA, 605 nt
Filed under: uncultured marine eukaryote
Lineage: Eukaryota
Description: SSU rRNA
Rfam family: Eukaryotic small subunit ribosomal RNA
Source: RNAcentral